This 587-nucleotide long non-coding RNA is filed under the name Panax ginseng (ginseng). RNAcentral describes it as "long non-coding RNA (PGIN_LNC017980)". The record is from RNAcentral. Lineage: Eukaryota; Viridiplantae; Streptophyta; Magnoliopsida; Apiales; Araliaceae.
UACUUACCAGGGUACAUAGCAUAUACAAUCAUUGCAAGUAGAUCUCGAUCAUAAUUGAUCGAUCCGAUCUUUAACUAUUCAGCAAAAAGCUUAUCUAUCUUCUUAAACAGAAAUUUGAUUUCUAAGAGAACUCAAAUUCCUCCUUCAAAAUAAUUUAUAAAAAUAAUUUACUAUAUAUAAGAAAAUAAUAUAUUAGAAAAUAAAAUUAGUUUGAGUAAUACCUGGAGUUGCAUCCCCGGCUGCCACGAUAUCUUGAACGGUCAUGUUGAAGACGCUUGCAGUUGAUUCUAUUGAUUUAUUUGUUGAUGUCGGUCCCGAUGUCGCCAAUGCCCUGCUGCCUUUUCGCAUUUUCGCAUUCCUUGUCUCCAUUUCCUUUCUUGGACGGUCUUUCACCUUAUGCUCCAUUGAUUCGCACAUAACACAUUUAUUAUACCUUCUUGGAUUGGGACUUUUAGGAAAGAUAUAUAUCCCUCCUGUCCUUACUUUCUAUACACAACUUUUCCUUUUUAAUCACAUUCCCGGCUUAUCUCCGGUAUUAUUAAGAUUAUUUUCUUUUAUCUUAUAGGCGGCAAAAAUGGUCUUUUGCC